GGUGUGGUGGAGCAGUUUGCGCAUUGGACUUCGACUCUGGAGGCCAGGGUUCAAAUCCCCGCUUGGCCA
Molecule: non-coding RNA, 69 nt
Organism: Phrynosoma platyrhinos (Desert horned lizard)
Lineage: Eukaryota; Metazoa; Chordata; Lepidosauria; Squamata; Phrynosomatidae
Source: the annotation of a GenBank genome assembly